Molecule: long non-coding RNA, 986 nt
Organism: Lycium barbarum (goji berry)
Lineage: Eukaryota; Viridiplantae; Streptophyta; Magnoliopsida; Solanales; Solanaceae
Exons: 2
Source: RefSeq, a predicted model, not a curated record
AAUUGGACCAGACACAUCCCAUCAACCCUUUAAACACCCAAAACAGAUGACCCUUUUUUCAUUUUUUGUUUUGUUGAAAGGGUCUUCACAAACCCUAGCCGCCUGUUGACACCUCUCUCUCCUCUCUCUUCGUUAUCUAGACGAAAAUGGGAAAGAUGCAGAGGUUAUUUGCUUUAGUAGACCAUGCAUGGUCAAUUGGGGAAAGGCAAUUCAUGCCUCGUCCUUCCUCCACCAUAUUUCAACCAUUGAAGAGGUGAGGUCGCCCAUUUUUUCCUUUUUCAUCUGAAUUUCUUAAUGGUUUUUGUCCAUUUGCUGGUUUGAAUGCUCAUCUGUGAUUGGCGAUUCAACAUUGGAGGGAUUUUCCCCUCCAUUUCUACUUGUCCCAGACCGAUGUUAAACAUCAAACCUAGGGUUUGGGGGUUGUAUAUAAAGAACCCUAUUCCCCACAGAUUACACACCUUUGAGCACACGGAUAAUUCUGAAUUAAGUGUUUUCUAACCCAAUAUUGGCUUAAUUAAGGAUCCAGCUUUAAGCGGAACCUUUACCUAGACUAAGUUUUUGUUAGUUUUAAACUUGUUCUUUUUCUUUGUGGAUGAGUGUUCGUGGAGCUUGAAGGAAGCCCUGGUUCUAUUCUCGACAAGGCUGCACAGAAAAAAAGAUACCUUAUAAGCUCAAUUCCCUUUUUUCCCUCUCCUUUGCAUGAAAUCUGUGCGAUGCGGGCCCAAAUGGGCCGACACUGCAUACCUCCUGUUGGGCUGAAGACCCAACAAUACAUUAGAUUGAGUCAAAUCCACAUUGAAGGCCCAACCAUGGGUGAAAAGGGUCAAACUGGUGGGCUCGGUAGGCCCACCAGCCUUUCAUAUCUUUUAUUUUUUGUGUGUAUGUAUUUUAUAAGUGUUGUUGUAAUGAACACUUGUAAAAAAUGUUGAAACACGAUUGGUUAUAACUUAGUUGAAAUAGGCAAACAAUCCUUAUAUCGCUUAGAA